GAUGAACGCUGGCGGCGUGCCUAAUACAUGCAAGUCGAGCGAACAGACGAGGAGCUUGCUCCUCUGACGUUAGCGGCGGACGGGUGAGUAACACGCGGAUAACCUACCUAUAAGACUGGGAUAACUUCGGGAAACCGGAGCUAAUACCGGAUAAUAUAUUGAACCGCAUGGUUCAAUAGUGAAAGCCGGUUUUGCUGUCACUUAUAGAUGGAUCCGCGCCGCAUUAGCUAGUUGGUAAGGUAACGGCUUACCAAGGCAACGAUGCGUAGCCGACCUGAGAGGGUGAUCGGCCACACUGGAACUGAGACACGGUCCAGACUCCUACGGGAGGCAGCAGUAGGGAAUCUUCCGCAAUGGGCGAAAGCCUGACGGAGCAACGCCGCGUGAGUGAUGAAGGUCUUCGGAUCGUAAAACUCUGUUAUUAGGGAAGAACAAAUGUGUAAGUAACUAUGCACGUCUUGACGGUACCUAAUCAGAAAGCCACGGCUAACUACGUG
RNAcentral lists this ribosomal RNA (497 nucleotides) under uncultured bacterium. RNAcentral describes it as "partial 16S ribosomal RNA". It matches the Rfam family "Bacterial small subunit ribosomal RNA", at positions 28 to 507 of the family's 1533-position model. The record is from RNAcentral.